RNAcentral lists this long non-coding RNA (1790 nucleotides) under Macaca fascicularis (crab-eating macaque). Its description in RNAcentral is "lncRNA (ENSMFAG00000055616.1)". The record is from RNAcentral. Lineage: Eukaryota; Metazoa; Chordata; Mammalia; Primates; Cercopithecidae.
CCAGUCCCCAGUGUGGGCCCCAGCCUCUGGCACACUGGUGCAUGCCAAAUGUACUCCUCAGACCACCACUACUCUGAUCAGGGCCCUUGCUGCUGUCACUGUUGUCAUCUGUGCUUGCAGUCCUCUGGUGCCUGGAAGUUCUGUUCUCCAGGUAGCAGAUGACUUUGCUCCAAGCAUUCACAUCUUUUUAUUCCAUCUGUACAGGAGUACUUUAUAAUUCUGAAUGUCUUCUAAACAUCAUUUUACUUAAGAUAGCUCAUAUAAAUGGGAUGUAUACUCUUUGUCACUAUGUUUGUGGUAUAUUUCACUGAAUAUGAUGUCUUAAAGUUUUAUGCUUAUUGUAGCAUGGGCAUAAUUUGCUGUUUGAAGGUACAGCCAUAUUCCAUUGCCUACGUAUGCCAUAUUUUAUCCAUUUAUCAAGAAACUUAAGUAGCUAUCACCUUCUUAUGGGGGGAGCGUUGGAAAAUGCUCUUAAAAAUGUGUAUGCAAAUGUCUAUUCCAGGUCCUGCUUUGCAUACAUAGAUUCCCAGAAGUAUACCUGGAUGGUAUAAUUUCUCUUUUCUUUCUCUUCUUUUUCUUUCUUUCUUUUUUUUUUUUUGAGAUUGGGUUUCACUUUGUCACCCAGGCUAGAGUGCAGUGGUGCAAUAAUGGCUCACUGCAGCCUUGACAUCCCAGGCUCAAAUGAUCCUUCCACCUCAGUCACCCAAGUAGCUGGGACUACAGGCACAUGCCAGCAUACCUGGCUAAUUUUUGUAUUUUUUCGAGAGAUAGGGUCUCACUGUGUUGCCCAGGCUGAACUCAAAAUUCUGAGCCUAAGUAAUUCUCCCACUUUAGCCUCCUAAAGUGUUGAAAUUACAGGCAUGAGCCACAGUUCGUUUUUAAUAUUUUGGAAAACCUGCAUCCUACUUUUAUUGAGGGCUGCAUUAUUCUUUUCCACCAGCAGUGCAUAGAGGUUCCAAAUCCUACAUACUUGACAACAUUGAUUACUUUUUAUUUGUUGAAUAGUGGCCAUUGCUAAUGGGUGAGACUUCAAGAUUUUACUUUGCAUUCUUCUCAUAAGUGAUUUUGAUUGUCUUUUCAAAUUCCUCUUGGUCAUUUGCAUAACUACUUUUAGGAAAUGUCUUUGAAGACACUGGUCCAUUUAAAAAAAGUUAUUCACCCUUGGUGGUGGUUAUGUUUCAGAAGUCAAAUGGUGAAUGGCAUUUGUACUCCACUUAGUGUUUCCCUUGAUGUGUGGAUGUGCAGAAGGUUUUGAAAGUUUGAUAUAGUACCUUUUCUAAUUAUCUUAUUGCUUCUGCUUUUAAUGUGAUACUCCAAAAGCCAUCCAAAACCAAUGUUACUAAGCUUCUCCCUAUAUUUUCUUCUAAGUGUUCAAGAGUUAUGUCUUUUUAAGUUUUAUGUUUAGUGUAUGUAAAAUGUUUUGUUUGCAUUGAAGAGAAAGGUCCAAGUUCAUUAUCUUUCUUUCUUUUUUUUUUCAUUCAUUUAGACGUUGAGUUUUCUCACACCAUUGGUUGGCAAGUCUGACCUUUUCUUCACUGUUUGGUCAUAGUAACCUAGUAAAAGAUUAUUUGAUAAUAUUUGCACAGGCUUAUUUCUGGGUUCUUUGUUCUGUCAUGUGUUUGUUUUUUUCUUUAUGCCAUUACCACAUUGGUUUUAUUUUUGUAGCUUUGGGAUCUGUUUUGACAUCAUGAGAUGUGGUAUUUCUUUGUUCUUUUCUAAAGCUGUUGGCUAUUCAUGUACCCUUGAGACUACACAUGAAUUUUAGAAUUAUAUAAAAUAUCUCUGCCAAA